AGGUUAAGUUAACAAGGGCGCAUGGUGAAUGCCUUGGCACUAGGAGCCGAUGAAGGACGGGACUAACACCGAUAUGCUUCGGGGAGCUGUACGUAAGCUAUGAUCCGGAGAUUUCCGAAUGGGGCAACCCAGCAGUUUUAAUCAACUGUUACCACUAGAUGAAUUCAUAGUCUAGUUGGAGGUAAACGCUGUGAACUGAAACAUCUCAUUAGCAGCAGGAAUAUAAAGAAAUUUCGAUUCCCUAAGUAGCGGCGAGCGAACGGGGAACAGCCCAAACCAAAGUGCUUGCACUUUGGGGUUGUAGGACUGAACAUUUGAGUUACCAAAGAACUUGAUAGUCGAAGGAUUUGGGAAAAUCCGCCAUAGAUGGUGAUAGCCCAGUAGAUUAAAUCAAAUUCUCUCAGUUCAGGAUCCUGAGUACGGCGGAACACGUGAAAUUCCGUCGGAAUCCGGGAGGACCAUCUCCCAAGGCUAAAUACUACCUAGUGACCGAUAGUGAACCAGUACCGUGAGGGAAAGGUGAAAAGCACCCCGGGAGGGGAGUGAAAUAGUUCCUGAAACCAUGUGCCUACAAUAAGUCAGAGCGCGUUAAUGCGUGAUGGCGUGCCUUUUGUAGAAUGAACCGGCGAGUUAUGAUCCCGUGCAAGGUUAAGACUAAAAAGUCGGAGCCGUAGCGAAAGCGAGUCUGAAAUGGGCGUUUUGAGUACGAGGUUAUAGACCCGAAACCAGGUGACCUAUCCAUGUCCAGGUUGAAGGUGCGGUAAAACGCACUGGAGGACCGAACCCGUGUAAGUUGAAAAUUGCUGGGAUGAGGUGUGGAUAGCGGUGAAAUUCCAAACGAACUUGGAGAUAGCUGGUUCUCUCCGAAAUAGCUUUAGGGCUAGCCUCGGAAUUAGGAUCAUGGAGGUAGAGCACUAUUUGGACUAGGGGCCCGUCUUGGGUUACUGAAUUCAGAUAAACUCCGAAUGCCAUUGAUUCAUAUCCGGGAGUCAGACGAUGAGUGAUAAGAUCCACCGUCGAAAGGGGAACAGCCCAGACCAUCAGUUAAGGUCCCUAAAUGUAUGCUAAGUGGAAAAGGAUGUGGAGUUGCAUAGACAACUAGGAUGUUGGCUCAGAAGCAGCCACCAUUUAAAGAGUGCGUAAUAGCUCACUAGUCGAGUGAUCCUGCGCCGAAAAUGUACCGGGGCUAAGCAUACUACCGAAACCAUGGAUGCGACCAUUAGGUCGCGUGAUAGGAGAGCGUUCUAAGGGCGGUGAAGCAAGAUCGUGAGGACUUGUGGAGCGCUUAGAAGUGAGAAUGCCGGUAUGAGUAGCGAAAGAUAGGUGAGAAUCCUAUCCACCGAAUGACUAAGGUUUCCUGGGGAAGGCUCGUCCUCCCAGGGUUAGUCGGGACCUAAGUCGAGGCCGAGAGGCGUAGACGAUGGAUAACAGGUUGAGAUUCCUGUACUAGUUAAGUGCGUUUGAGCAAUGGAGGGACGCAGGAGGCUAAGAUGUGCAUUCUGUUGGAUUAGAAUGUCCAAGCAGUAAGUCUUGUGAAGAGUCAAAUGCUUUCACUUUAAGGACAAGCUGUGAUGGGGAGCGAAAUUUAGUAGCGAAGCGUCUGAUGUCACACUGCCGAGAAAAGCUUCUAGUGAGUACUUAACUACCCGUACCGCAAACCGACACAGGUAGUCGAGGAGAGAAUCCUAAGGUGAGCGAGUGAACUCUCGUUAAGGAACUCGGCAAAAUGACCCCGUAACUUCGGGAGAAGGGGUGCUGAUCGCAAGAUCAGCCGCAGUGAAUAGGCCCAGGCGACUGUUUAUCAAAACACAGGUCUCUGCAAAAUCGUAAGAUGACGUAUAGGGGCUGACGCCUGCCCGGUGCUGGAAGGUUAAAAGGAUGGGUUAGCUUCGGCGAAGCUCAGAAUUGAAGCCCCAGUAAACGGCGGCCGUAACUAUAACGGUCCUAAGGUAGCGAAAUUCCUUGUCGGGUAAGUUCCGACCCGCACGAAAGGCGUAACGAUCUGGGCACUGUCUCAACGAGAGACUCGGUGAAAUUAUAUUGUCCGUGAAGAUGCGGACUACCCGCGACAGGACGGAAAGACCCCAUGGAGCUUUACUGUAGCUUGAUAUUGAGUGUUUGUACAGCUUGUACAGGAUAGGUAGGAGCCAUAGAAACCGGAACGCUAGUUUCGGUGGAGGCGUUGGUGGGAUACUACCUCGCUGUAUGACCACUCUAACCCGCACCACUAAUCGUGGUGGGAGACAGUGUCAGGUGGGCAGUUUGACUGGGGCGGUCGCCUCCUAAAAAGUAACGGAGGCGCCCAAAGGUUCCCUCAGAAUGGUUGGAAAUCAUUCGCAGAGUGUAAAGGCACAAGGGAGCUUGACUGCGAGACAGACAGGUCGAGCAGGGACGAAAGUCGGGCUUAGUGAUCCGGUGGUACCGUAUGGAAGGGCCAUCGCUCAACGGAUAAAAGCUACCCUGGGGAUAACAGGCUUAUCUCCCCCAAGAGUCCACAUCGACGGGGAGGUUUGGCACCUCGAUGUCGGCUCAUCGCAUCCUGGGGCUGUAGUCGGUCCCAAGGGUUGGGCUGUUCGCCCAUUAAAGCGGUACGCGAGCUGGGUUCAGAACGUCGUGAGACAGUUCGGUCCCUAUCCGUCGCGGGCGUAGGAAAUUUGAGAGGACCUGUCCUUAGUACGAGAGGACCGGGAUGGACAUACCUCUGGUGUACCAGUUGUGCCGCCAGGCGCAUCGCUGGGUAGCUACGUAUGGAUGUGAUAAACGCUGAAAGCAUCUAAGUGUGAAACACACCUCGAGAUGAGAUUUCCCAUUCCUUUAUGGAAGUAAGACCCCUGAAAGAUGAUCAGGUAGAUAGGUUAGAAGUGGCAGUGCGGUGACGCAUGAAGCGGACUAAUACUAAUCGGUCGAGGACUUAACCAAG
RNAcentral lists this ribosomal RNA (2920 nucleotides) under Lactiplantibacillus plantarum. RNAcentral's name for it is "bacterial LSU rRNA". It matches the Rfam family "Bacterial large subunit ribosomal RNA". The record is from RNAcentral. Lineage: Bacteria; Bacillati; Bacillota; Bacilli; Lactobacillales; Lactobacillaceae.